UCCCGCCCACUCACGAGUAGAAAUUUUAUUAUUUUACCCGAAUUCUGUGUCUCCGUGUAUUUUCUUUCCAAUAUUUCCAGAAUAUUUGGUUCCCUAACCAGGACUAAUUUCCUAGGCUCCCCAACAGGACACAGAGACCCGCUCACCAGCUGAGGGUCACCCGAACCCAAGAUGGAAGAUGACAGAAGGAGGGCCAUUGCUCUUGGUGUCUCAUCUGUCUCUUUCCUUUGCUGGAAAACCCAUCCAACACCUGGUGUUUGAACAGGGACCUGAAAGAUCCCAAGAUGAUUGUCUGAGGUGGCAGCAGGCAGAAUCCUGGGGUGGUGGUCUUCCUUCAUGUGGUAUAGGAUGGUGCACCUCCUAGAUGAGUGUCCACUGCAUGAGUACAAGGAUAACCCCCAAAUGCCUAAUGGACUGGAGAGCAUCCUGCAAUCCCUGAAGGAAUGAAUGUCUACUGCUUCAGUCUAUACAGUUGCUGUGGAGUAACAGCCCAGUACUCAGCUCUAGUCAAAGGAGUUAACACCCCCUCCAAGGCUCAGGGAACAUCACAGAAGAGGGACUGGAAAGACUGGACAAGCCAGAAGAAGGAAUGGAGUGUAGUGUGAGUUGUCCUCUGAACCAUACUCAAAGUAAUUCUAUUUUCAGUGGGUCCCUACCAAGUAGCCCAGUCCUGAGGCUGUGUGCUAGACUGUAGCACAAGGCCAUCCAUCACUAAAGCCACAUAGCACUUGCUAAGACCAACAAUUUCCUGCUAAGGAUGGGAGGGGAACAGAGUACACACGACUUUUCCCAAGGACCCUUCUUGCUUUUGAUCCUGCUUUUGACAUUUUAAUUAAUGUUACCUAAAACCAGUAGCCUAGCACAGGGUGCAUGGCAAUUUUGGUGAUAACUGCAGCCCACAAGUCAUCCCCUGCUCUGUGAGUAUGCCCUAAUACACUCAUUUUCACACCAAGCUGGACUGUCUGAGCUAUUCUUUGGACUGUUGGCUCCCUCUCUGUUCAGAGGUAGAUGUUUCUUUUACGUCUCUCCAGGGAAUUCACACAAGCUGAGGUAUCCAUCUUAUGCCCAUGAUCAGCAGAGUUCUUGGGCCUCCCCUAGAGCCACCCCUCACUCGGUUCUCAGGCCUAUGGACUUGGACUGAAUUAUACUACUGGCUUUCCUUGUUCUUGCAUACAGAAGGUUUCAGGACUUCUUGAUCUCCUGUGUGAGCCAAUUCCCAUAAUAAAUCUCCCCAUAUGUCUCUAUAUAUACCACCGUGUGGAGAUCAGCAGGGAAGAAUGAGGCCUAACUGGGCUCCUCUUUAGUGAGCACUGAGGAGAGGGCAUGCAAACCUGCUAACAUGUUGCAGGGAAAAUUAAAAACACCUGAGUUUAAGUUAUUUACUUGGAGAAGUACCAUGGAGGGUGGAAGACAGAUGAAUUCUGUGAAACUCUAAUUGCUUGUGCCAUGUCUGAAUAAAGCCAAGGUGCACCAGUCAUUAGGGGCUCUAUGUUGAAGGGCGACAUGAGGCCUCUGGCCCCCAAGAUUUUAACUUGUUUCUGUGUCUCUUUAUUUUUCAUCUU
Non-coding RNA from Heterocephalus glaber (naked mole-rat), 1562 nucleotides. The record is from RefSeq and is a predicted model, not a curated record. NCBI's taxonomy places the organism in Eukaryota, Metazoa, Chordata, Mammalia, Rodentia, Bathyergidae.